GAAGCAACGCGAAGAACCUUACCUGGCCUUGACAUGCUGAGAACUUUCUAGAGAUAGAUUGGUGCCUUCGGGAACUCAGACACAGGUGCUGCAUGGCUGUCGUCAGCUCGUGUCGUGAGAUGUUGGGUUAAGUCCCGUAACGAGCGCAACCCUUGUCCUUAGUUACCAGCACGUAAUGGUGGGAACUCUAAGGAGACUGCCGGUGACAAACCGGAGGAAGGUGGGGAUGACGUCAAGUCAUC
Molecule: ribosomal RNA, 242 nt
Filed under: Pseudomonas sp.
Lineage: Bacteria; Pseudomonadati; Pseudomonadota; Gammaproteobacteria; Pseudomonadales; Pseudomonadaceae
Description: partial 16S ribosomal RNA
Rfam family: Bacterial small subunit ribosomal RNA
Source: RNAcentral